Molecule: small nucleolar RNA, 130 nt
Organism: Apodemus sylvaticus (European woodmouse)
Lineage: Eukaryota; Metazoa; Chordata; Mammalia; Rodentia; Muridae
Product: small nucleolar RNA SNORA17
Exons: 1
Source: RefSeq, a predicted model, not a curated record
ACUAUCUCUAAGAAGUUUCAAGUUUAGCUGCUCUGUCACAUGUGUGUCAGUAGGUGGCAGAGAGGAGAAAUGCUGUGUCUAUGCUCAGUGUCUGGCCUAUGAACAUCUGAAUGAUUACUAACCUAAAAUU